AUGAACGGCAACGGCAGGCUUAACACAUGCAAGUYGMGGGGGUAUAGUUCUUCGGAAUUAGAGACCGGCGCACGGGUGCGUAACGCGUAUGCAAUCUACCUUUCACAGAGGGAUAGCCCAGAGAAAUUUGGAUUAAUACCUCAUAGUAUAAUACCUUGGCAUCAAGGAAUUAUUAAAGUCACAACGGUGAAAGAUGAGCAUGCGUCCCAUUAGCUAGUUGGUAAGGUAACGGCUUACCAAGGCGACGAUGGGUAGGGGUCCUGAGAGGGAGAUCCCCCACACUGGUACUGAGACACGGACCAGACUCCUACGGGAGGCAGCAGUGAGGAAUAUUGGACAAUGGGCGCAAGCCUGAUCCAGCCAUGCCGCGUGCAGGAUGACGGUCCUAUGGAUUGUAAACUGCUUUUAUACGAGAAGAAACACUCCGACGUGUCGGAGCUUGACGGUAUCGUAAGAAUAAGGAUCGGCUAACUCCGUGCCAGCAGCCGCGGUAAUACGGAGGAUCCAAGCGUUAUCCGGAAUCAUUGGGUUUAAAGGGUCCGUAGGCGGUCAGAUAAGUCAGUGGUGAAAGCCCAUCGCUCAACGGUGGAACGGCCAUUGAUACUGUCUGACUUGAAUUAUUAGGAAGUAACUAGAAUAUGUAGUGUAGCGGUGAAAUGCUUAGAGAUUACAUGGAAUACCAAUUGCGAAGGCAGGUUACUACUAAUGGAUUGACGCUGAUGGACGAAAGCGUGGGUAGCGAACAGGAUUAGAUACCCUGGUAGUCCACGCCGUAAACGAUGGAUACUAGCUGUUGGGCGCAAGUUCAGUGGCUAAGCGAAAGUGAUAAGUAUCCCACCUGGGGAGUACGUUCGCAAGAAUGAAACUCAAAGGAAUUGACGGGGGCCCGCACAAGCGGUGGAGCAUGUGGUUUAAUUCGAUGAUACGCGAGGAACCUUACCAAGGCUUAAAUGUAGAUUGACCGGUUUGGAAACAGACUUUUCGCAAGACAAUUUACAAGGUGCUGCAUGGUUGUCGUCAGCUCGUGCCGUGAGGUGUCAGGUUAAGUCCUAUAACGAGCGCAACCCCUGUUGUUAGUUGCCAGCGAGUCAUGUCGGGAACUCUAACAAGACUGCCAGUGCAAACUGUGAGGAAGGUGGGGAUGACGUCAAAUCAUCACGGCCCUUACGCCUUGGGCUACACACGUGCUACAAUGGCCGGUACAGAGAGCAGCCACUGGGCGACCAGGA
This 1229-nucleotide ribosomal RNA is filed under the name Flavobacterium sp. EP328. RNAcentral describes it as "bacterial SSU rRNA". It matches the Rfam family "Bacterial small subunit ribosomal RNA", at positions 29 to 1266 of the family's 1533-position model. The record is from RNAcentral. Lineage: Bacteria; Pseudomonadati; Bacteroidota; Flavobacteriia; Flavobacteriales; Flavobacteriaceae.